Molecule: long non-coding RNA, 9266 nt
Filed under: Lactuca sativa (garden lettuce)
Lineage: Eukaryota; Viridiplantae; Streptophyta; Magnoliopsida; Asterales; Asteraceae
Description: long non-coding RNA (LSAT_LNC008931)
Source: RNAcentral
UGGCACCAUCCAGUUAGAUAGACUAAAUGAGAGGAAUAACACUUGGAGAUUAUUAAUAUAUUAUAAGUUCUAAUAUAUUAAUAAUAUUAUUUGAUUAGUUUGAUCAAAGAAUUAAUUUGGAAUUAAUUAAGUGAUCAAAAGAUAACUAAUUAAAUAUAUGGGUUGAUUAUGUAAAUCAUCCAUAUCUUGUAUAGUGGGCUAAGAGGCUCCAUGGAUUAUCAAGUUGGGUUCUACCCAUAGGAUGCUCCAUGGAUGCUCCAUGGGAGUUACAAACCCAUGGGUCAUGGAAAUGAAGAGUCAUGACACAUUAGGGUUUACAUGGUGUAACCCUAGAUGUGUCAACACUAUAUAAGGAUCCCAUUCUCCACCAAAAUCGGCUAGACAUAAGAAACUAGAGGGCUUGGCCGAUUUUGAGAAGUGUGUGUUAUCUCAAGAGUCUUUCCAAGAGCAUUUGGUGUUGUGUGAAGCAUUUGAGGCAUCACACUUGGGGUGCUAGGCUCACAAGGUUUCAAGGAACACAAGCAACAACAAGGUAAGUUAUUCUAUCUAUGAUUCAAGUUAAAAUUGUUCCCCAUGUAUGCUAGAUAGGAAUAUAACCUUGGAAUUCAACUUUGCAUGAUAAUUAGACAAACAUAGAUCCAAGGUUAUUAGGGUUGCAUGUACACUUAGGAAGUGUUAGAAUGCUCAAAACCCAUCAGUGGUAUCAGAGCCUAGGCUUGUUUGCUUGUUAUUUGUGCUUAAAUGUUGAAAAAAGUAGAAAAACUUGUUGUCUGCCUGAUGAAAUCGCUGAGUCCAUGGGGAGACUCGCCGAGUUCACUUGUAUCUUCAACCUACUCGCCGAGUAGGUUCAUGCACUCGGCGAGUAGGAGCCACAGAGUGCAGAUUUUCGACUUUAGUUGCUGGAAAUGGACUAGAAACAUUACCCUAAACUGUUUUGGUACUUGAAAACUUGUUUUAGAUGGUGUAAUGUCUUUGCUAAUCCAUUUACAACAACUAGUUAUCAAAAUUACAAAGUUUUAAGUGUAAUUUUGAUUCAUGAAAGUGUUCAUAUUCAUGUUCUUGAUCUUAUGAUGUUUAGAUGAUCAUAGGAAUUAUUUGUAACCUAUGUGGUAGUUUAAUUCUUGAUCAUAAUGUGUUUUAAUGGAGUCCAUAACUUGUCCUCAAGUUAUGGAAAACCAAAAGUCACUUGAGUUAAAACCAUUAAAAGAACACAAGAGUUAGAAAAAUGAAGAGUCUUCAUUUUUAUUACUCUAAUAAACUCAUAAGUUACAAGAAAUGAAAAGUUUUGAAAGUUUAGAAAACUUGCCCUCAAGUUUUGGAAGAAGUAAAGUCAUGUUAAAAACUUUAGUUCCAACCCUUAGAAUUUUAAAAGUUAAAAUUCAACCCUUAUACUUCUAUUAUUAUGAUUUAAUAAUUAUAUAUAUAUGUAUAAGAACAAAGUCGUCUUACCGCUAGUACGCCUCAUUCACGAAGUCGGUCUAUAAGGUGGGUAUAUUGUUGUUGCCUAUAAAAUGGCAACUUAAUGGGUGUCCACUCUCACCGACUGCUUGCUUGACCGGUGGAGGGUCGUUAGCCGAACGAGUAAGACAGGGACUUAUAAAUUCUCAUUAAAACUUUGAUGUAUAUUAUAAAGUAACUAAAUGUUUUAUUAAAUUCCCAAUCUUAGUUACUUUAGGAAAAAUGUGAAUAAGGUGCUAAUCCAUGAAAUUACACUUUACACUUUGUUUAAGUCGUUGGUGGAGCGUGUGUGGUUAACCGGCACACUAACUUGGACUUAACAAGGUAGGUAAAGGGUGACUUAAGGUUUAUUAUAGUAUCGGUGGAGCGUGUGUGGUUUACCGGCACAUCGAUUGAGUGAUAAACUUUAAGGGUACCAAGUGAUUUGCAUGGUUACUUCACACCUCGUUUUGUGAUCCUCGGUAUCCCAGUCACAAAACUUGGAGGGCACACUCGAGAUUGAAACAUGCCUUUGAAAAGUUCAUUGAAUCUCAAAGAAUCUAGGAAUUUCUAAGAACCAUUCAAAAACCUAAUACUAAAAUAUUGCGGUUUUCGUGGUGGAAAUUGGUGAAUCGUCAUUCACCUACCUUUCAAAUAUGAUAUAGCUUAGAUUACGGCAUACCUCUUCUAAGUUAUAUUAUAUUGUGAUUGGAUCCUAGCCUUAAUAUUACAUUUGGGUGUUUUAUUAAGGACUCUCUUAUAUCUAAACUAAUCUUGUCCUCUUUCCUUCAGAUGUCUUUCAACAAUGCUUCUGGCUCUAAUCCUAAUGGCUCCUUUACCCUUAUGAACUUGUGUGGGAAAGUCACCUUUGAUGGAUCCAACUUCAAUGAGUGGAUCAGAAACAUCAGGAUGAUUACCCGCUACGAGGACAAAGAAUAUGUCCUUGACAAGGAGCUUAAGGAGAUUGAUGAGUCCACUGCAACUCCUCAGGAGAUCGCUGAAUUUCGGGCACAUGAAAGGGAUGCUACGAAAGUGGCUUGCAUCAUGAUGGCCACGAUGACAGCGGAACUCCAAAAGUCUUAUGAGGAUUUCUACCCUUAUGAAAUGCACCAAGAUUUGAUGGAAAGAUACCAUCAAAGUGCAAGACAAGAGAGGUAUGAAAUCAUCUGCUCCAUGAUAACAACCAUGAUGAAGGACGGGGAAUCCGUCACGAGCCACAUGCAGAAAAUGCAAAGGUAUGUGGAUCGUUUGCUGAAGCUUAAUGUGAACUUCCCGGAGGAUCUUGCAAUAGAUAUUAUUUUGCAUUCCUUACCAUCGUGCUAUGAUCAAUUCCGCAUGACAUAUCACAUGAACAAGGAAGAAGUCACCCUCAGCAAACUUCAGGGACUUCUCAAGACCGCAGAAUCAGGUCUUAAGGGGAAGUCGGUUGCUAUCACUCCUACUCAAAACUCUACUCCGGUUUUGGCAAUCGGGAAAAGUCGAGGGAGGAAGAGAAAGAGCUCUUCUAAGGGUACCAAGGUUCGGACCCUUGAUGGCUCUUCUUCAAGUGGAACCAAGAAAGGUUUCAUUACUCCUUCUUCUGACCCAAAAGAGGCUGAAUGCUUCUAUUGCCAUGAAAAAGCUCAUUGGAAGCGGAACUGCCCAAAAUACCAGCAAGAUGUGAAGGAUGGGAAAGUUAAACCCAACCAUGCAGGUAUUUACACUAUCAUUUCUAAUAACUCACCCCAUUCUAAUUCUUGGGUCCUUGAUACCGGGUGUGGUAUUCACAUUUGUUGUGACUUGCAGGGACUAAGAAGAAGUGAGGAUGUGGAGCAAGGAAGGAUAAACUUGAUCAUGGGGAAUAGGAAAGCUAUACCUGUUACCAAGAUUGGAGUUUAUACUUUAUCGCUAAGUAGUGGGUUUAGUUUAGAUUUGAAUAAGUGUUGUUAUUCGCCAGGAAUGGCAAGAAAUAUUAUUUCCUUUCAUGCUUUGUACAAACAAGGGUUUACCUUUUCAUUUAAUAAUGAAGUUGGUUCUAUAGAUGUUUUCUAUAAUAAUGUCUUUUAUUUUAAAGCAUUACCUUGUGAUGGUGUGUAUGAAGCUGUAUCUGUUGUAGAUAACUUGGGAAAUAAUGUUUUGUGUAUUGAUUCUACUAAUAAUAACUUGGAUAAAGCAUCUUUAUGGCAUUGUCGUCUUGGACAUAUAAGCAAGAAACGCAUAGGCCAACUCCAAAAGGAUGGAGUCUUGGAGUCGUUUGACCUAAAGUCAGAUGAUAGUUGCGAAUCAUGCUUACUUGGAAAAAUGACAAAGUCACCCUUCACAGGUUCGUGUGAGAGGGGUGAAGGUUUGUUGGACCUUAUACACACGGAUGUGUGUGGACCAUUCAAACAUGCCACAAGGGAUGCUAAUCGUUAUUAUUUGACUUUUACUGAUGAUUAUAGUAGAUAUGGAUAUGUCUACUUGAUCAAGCAUAAGUCAGAGACUUUCGAGAGGUUUAAGGAAUUUAAACAGGAAGUCGAGAAUCAAUUGGGCAGGAACAUUAAGAUGCUUCGAUCCGAUCGUGGUGGUGAGUAUCUUAGUUCAGAGUUCCUCGACUAUCUAAGGGAAUGUGGGAUAGUCUCACAAUUGACACCUCCCAGGACACCACAGUUGAAUGGUGUGGCUGAGAGGCGUAAUCGAACCUUGUUAGAUAUGGUUCGUUCCAUGAUGAGUCGAGCUACGCUACCAAUCUCAUUCUGGGGGUAUGCCUUAGAGACUGCCGCCCAUAUCCUUAAUCUAGUCCCUACAAAGAAAGUUGCCAAAACUCCUCACGAGAUGUGGACUGGUAAAGUACCCAAACUAGACCACAUCAAGAUUUGGGGUUGCGAGGCUUUCGUGAGACGCGAGACUCAUGAAAAGCUCGAACCCCGAAGCGAGAGGUGUAUUUUCAUCGGCUACCCACAGCAAUCCUUUGGUUACCUCUUCUACAGACCUAGUGUAAAUGUGGUCUUUGUAAGUAGGAGGGCUUUCUUUAAAGAGAGAGAGUUCAUAAGCCAAGGAAAUAGUGGGAGGCAAGUUGACCUUGAAAUCCUGUUGAGCCAAUUGACUGGUCUANGUACCUCUGAGGCGUUCCACAAGGGUUAGGAAUGCUCCUGAGCAUUACUAUGGAUUCCAUAUUACUGCAGAAGGAGAUACACUUAUCAGUGAUGAGACACUGAUAGGUCUGGAUGAACCUAACAGUUACGCGGAAGCCAUGGCAGGCCCUGAGUCAGCCAAGUGGAAAGAGGCAAUGGACAGCGAAAUACAGUCCAUGUAUGACAAUCAAGUUUGGAACUUGGUUGAGAAUGUACCAGGUCGUAAGACAGUUGGGUGCAAAUGGGUCUUCAAGAAGAAGUCCGACAUGGAUGGUAAAGUACACACUUACAAGCCUAGAUUGGUUGCAAAGGGCUUCUCUCAAAUUCCUGGAGUGGACAAUGAUGAGACCAUUUCUCCAGUAGCCAAGAUUAAGUCUAUUCGGGUUCUGUUGGCCAUACUUGCAUUUCAUGACUAUGAAAUAUGAAAAAUGGAUGUCAGAACCACUUUCCUUAAUGGAAAGUUGGCUGAAGAUGUUUACAUGAGUCAGCCAGAGGGUUUUGUCAGCAACGAGUACCCUAAUAGAGUGUGUAAGCUUGAGAAAUCCAUUUAUGGAUUGAAGCAAGCACCUCGCAGAUGGAAUCUUUGCUUUGAUGAAAAGGUCAAGGAAUUUGGCUUUUCUAGGAGUGAAGAUGAAUCUUGUGUGUAUGUCAAGGCUAGUGGGAGUAUAGUUAGCUUUUUGGUAUUGUAUGUGGAUGACAUACUACUCAUAGGAAACGACAUUCCAACCCUGCAGGAAGUAAAGUCCUGGCUUGGGAAGUGUUUCGCUAUGAAGGACCUUGGUGAAGCUGCCUAUAUUCUAGGGAUAAGAAUCUUGAGAGAUCGGAGUAAAAGACUAAUUGGACUUAGUCAGAGUACCUACUUGGAUAAGGUGCUGAAGAGAUUCAGCAUGCAGGAUUCCAAGAAAGGAGAGUUACCCAUCCAGAGUAACACCAGAUUGAGUAAGACACAAAGCCCUAGCACUGAGGCUGAGAUAGCAGAAAUGAGUCGAACACCUUACGCUUCGGCUGUAGGAUCGAUCAUGUAUGCUAUGACGUGUACUCGACCCGAUGUAGCUUUUGCCUUGAGCAUGGUUAGCAGGUAUCAGGCGAACCCUGGCAAGGCACACUGGACUGCGGUAAAGAAUAUCCUCAAGUACCUACGGAGGACUAAGGACUGGGUCCUUACCCUCGGUGGGAGUGAUGACUUGAGAGUUGUAGGGUAUAGUGAUGCUAGCUUCCAGACUGAUAGGGAUAAUUUCCGCUCUCAGUCGGGCUGGGUCUUUACCCUAAACGGAGGAGCAAUUUCUUGGAAGAGUUCCAAGCAAGAGACAGUGGCAGAUUCUACUUGUGAAUCAGAGUAUAUUGCAGCUAGUGAAGCAGCAAAGGAGGCGAUAUGGCUGAAGAACUUCAUUGGAGACCUUGGAGUUGUACCAGCUAUUAAAGAGCCAAUGGAAAUUUUCUGUGAUAGUGAAAGUGCUGUUGCCUUAGCCAAGGAACCAAGGGAUCAUGGGAGAUCCAGACACAUCGACAGAAAAUACCAUUUCAUUAGACAUCGGAUCGAAGAAGGACUCCUCGUGGCAAAGAGGGUAUCAUCGGAUGAGAACCCAGCAGAUCCCCUCACGAAGGGACUGAGUAGGGUUAAGCAUCUCCAGCAUGCUCGGAGCAUAGGGCUGAAGGAUGAUAUAAGUUUUAGUAGUUAGAUAACCCAGAAAUUUGUAAAGUGUAAUUGACAUUUGAUGAUGAAUAAAAGGUGUUUUAUUUAUGAGUAAAGUGUUGCUAUCUCUUGUCGAUCGUUUACUAUAUUUCUUUUGCAUGUUUUGACUUCCAGAAUAAUUUUGUUUGGUAUAACAUAUUAUUCAAACCUCCACAGUCGGUCAUAUGUCGGAAGUAGGUAUGAAUCAAGACUGUCAUGAUGGGUUGUAGAGGUCUAAGGUGUUGGACAAGGCUACAACAAUCAUGAGUGCUCAUAAGUUCUGAGCAUUGGACUCAACCCACGCUCACUGGAAUCACUUCAUGGAAUUCUAUCUCGAGUGAUCGUGAGACGGUAAUAUCAUAUAAGUCUUCAAACCUAGAGAUAUGAUUUGUUACUUACAAGUUGGUUAUGCAUUGACUGUACGAAACCGCAUUGGUAACUCGAUGUUAUAAAACGUACUUUUGUGUGUAAUUCAAUGAGUGGUAGAACAAACAUAUGAGUCGAAGUUUAUCUGUUCCUUCUUGGAUUAGAAGCUGAUAUCUGGGCCCCUCGAUGAUUUUGUUUUGACCCAUGUACCGGGCCCGGUCAGAACUAAGUUGAUGUGUUCAAUUAAGUUCUUUGUCAAACAAAUCGGAAAUCGGGAAACAAACUGCUGGACAAUAAGUAAGACAUUGUUCCAUGUAUUUGUCCGGCUGAUAUCUAGAACGGAGGAUUAUAUGAUCACUUAUCUUAAAUGGCGUACCAUCAUCUUCUCAGUUCCGAGAGACCUUGAAAGAGCUACGAUUGCCGGUCGGUUCCUGAAGUACUAGAGAUAUAGUUAUUAGACUUAUCCAAGUGGGAGACUGUUGGAUAAGGUGUCUAAGUCCAUAACUAUUUCGGGCUUGUACUUGACCCGACCCGGCAUGGUCCAUUUGGGUUGCAUGGCACCAUGCAAUUGGAUAGACUAAAUGAGAGGAAUAACACUUGGAGAUUAUUAAUAUAUUAUAAGUUCUAAUAUAUUAAUAAUAUUAUUUGAUUAGUUUGAUCAAAGAAUUAAUUUGGAAUUAAUUAAGUGAUCAAAAGAUAACUAAUUAAAUAUAUGGGUUGAUUAUGUAAAUCAUUCAUAUCUUGUAUAGUGGGCUAAGAGGCUCCAUGGAUUAUCAAGUUGGGUUCUACCCAUAGGAUGCUCCAUGGGAGUUACAAACCCAUGGGUCAUGGAAAUGAAGAGUCAUGACACAUUAGGGUUUACAUGGUGUAACCCUAGAUGUGUCAACACUAUAUAAGAGUCCCAUUCUCCACAAAAUUGGCUACACAAGUUGAACACUAAGAAACUAGAGGGCUUGGCCGAUUUUGAGAAGUGUGUGUUAUCUCAAGAGUCUUUCCAUGAGCAUUUGGUGUUGUGUGAAGCAUUUGAGGCAUCACACUUGGGGUGCUAGGCUCACAAGGUUUCAAGGAACACAAGCAACAACAAGGUAAGUUAUUCUAUCUAUGAUUCAAGUAGAAAUUGUUCCCCAUGUAUGCUAGAUAGGAAUAUAACCUUGGAAUUCAACUUUGCAUGAUAAUUAGACAAACAUAGAUCCAAGGUUAUUAGGGUUGCAUGUACACUUAGGAAGUGUUAGAAUGCUCAAAACCCAUCAUCCUUAUCGUCUUGCAUCAACCGAAAUGAAAGAAAUGAUGAUACAACUGCAGGAAUUACUUGACAAAGACUUUAUUCGACCGAGUACCUAUCCUUGGGGUGCUCCUGUGUUAUUUGUCAAGAAGAAAGACGGUUCGAUGUGAUUGUGUAUUGAUUACCGUGACCUAAAUAAGGUGACUAUCAAGAACAAGUGUCCACUACAUUGCAUUAACGAUUUAUUUGAUUAACCUCAGGGUGUUAGCUAUUUCUAAAAGAUUGAUUUGAGAUAUGGCUAUCGUCAGUUGAAAGUAAACAAGCAGGAUGUACCGAAGACUAUUUUUCGUACUUGAUAUGGGCAUUACGAAUUCCUUGUCAUGCCGUUCGGUUUGACAAAUGCUCCUGUUGUAGUCAUGGAUAUGAUGAAUCGCGUGUGUCGUCCAAUGCUAGAUAAAUCUGUCAACGUAUUCAUUGAAGAUAUUCUAAUUUAUUCCAAGUCUGAAUCCGAUCAUGCCAUUCAUAUUCGUAAGGUAUUAGAACUUUUUUGAAAGGAGAAACUGUUGGAUAAGGUGUCUAAGUCCAUAACUAUUUCUGGUUAGUACUUGACCCGACCCGGCAUGGUCCAUUUGGGUUGCAUGGCACCAUGCAAUUGGAUAGACUAAAUGAGAGGAAUAACACUUGGAGAUUAUUAAUAUAUUAUAAGUUCUAAUAUAUUAAUAAUAUUAUUUGAUUAGUUUGAUCAAAGAAUUAAUUUGGAAUUAAUUAAGUGAUCAAAAGAUAACUAAUUAAAUAUAUGGGUUGAUUAUGUAAAUCAUUCAUAUCUUGUAUAGUGGGCUAAGAGGCUCCAUGGAUUAUCAAGUUGGGUUCUACCCAUAGGAUGCUCCAUGGGAGUUACAAACCCAUCGGUCAUGGAAAUGAAGAGUCAUGACACAUUAGGGUUUACAUGGUGUAACCCUAGAUGUGUCAACACUAUAUAAGAGUCCCAUUCUCCACCAAAAUCGGCUACACAUAAGAAACAAGAGGGCUAGGCCGAUUUCAAGAAGUGUGUAUUCUCUCAAAAGUCUUUCAUGAGCAUUUGGUGUUGUGUGAAGCAUUUGAGGCAUCACACUUGGAGUGCUAGGCUCACAAGAUUUCAAGGAACAUAAGCAACAACAAGGUAAGUUAUUCUAUCUUUCAUUCAAGUUAGAAAUUGUUCUCCAUGUAUGCUAGAUAGGAAUAUAACCUUGGAAUUCAACUUUGCAUGAUAAUUAGAGAAACAUAGAUCCAAGGUUAUUAGGGUUGCAUGUACACUUAGCAAGUGUUAGAAUGCUCAAAACCCAUCAUCCUUAUCGUCUUGCGUCAGCCGAAAUGAGAGAAAUGAUGAUCCAACUGCAGGAAUUACUUGACAAAGACUUUAUUCGACUGAGUACCUAUCCUUGGGGUGCUCCAGUGUUAUUUGUCAAGAAGCAAGACGGUUCGAUGUGAUUAUGUAUUG